AAAAGUGACAAUCUAACUUGUUGUACAUUAGUUAGCCAGCUCGUAUUCAACUCUUUAAUAAACACACCGAAUACGAGCUGAAUUUUUUAGUUCGAUAUUUUACAAAGCCAGUUUAUGUUCUGCUCGUUUAGUUAACGAGCGAAAAUGAAUUGACCUCAGCUCGCUCAUGUUCGGCUCGUUGACAGCCCUAUGCUAUGGGCAAUGAAAAAAAUAUGAUAAAAAAGUUAUCUAUUUUCGAUACAUAAUAUAAUGUUGUGCGUAUAACAAUAAAUGAAUUACUAUAUAUUUUCUACAGCUACAGUGAAAAUAGGAGAAGAAUAUUUUAUUUCCUAACGUCUCAACUCAAUUUUGACUAAAGGCAUUUAGUUUUGUUUCUACUUUUCGCUACAGUAGUGUAGCCGAAUUAAGUACAUUGAUGGGUAGAAAAAAAUUUAAAACUUUCGUUGCAGUGAAAGACAAAUAAAAUUCGCUCUUCAGACUCAUGCAGAAAUUUUAAUUUGGUAUUUUUUAUUUUACUCCAUGUAGAAAAAAAAAAUUAUUAAGAUAUUUUGAUAUAAUUCUUAAUUUAUAAUAAUAUUACUUAAACAAUACUUAAACCAUUCCAUACAUUGUAUUAUAGUUCUCGAGAGUCAAAAAAAUAAGUGUUUUUUUUAUUAAUCAUUUAUCUAUUAAGUAAUUUGCUUAUUUCCGUACAUUUCGUGCACUUUAAACAGUACAGUUAAAAGCUUUUUUUUUUUUUUUUACGAAGGAGAAAUAAAUGCAUAACAUAACUAGCCAGAAAAUUUAAUUUAUCGAGUAUUUUUUCUUUUAGAAAGAAAGAUAGCAAAUUCUCUGCUUCUUUUAUUUUUAUUUUUAAAAUAAAUUUAGUUGAAAAAUACGAAAUAACUGGGCUAUGGACUUGUAANAACAAUAAAUAUUAUUAUAAUUAAUAACUAUUAGUUGCAAUAGUAAAUUUUUGCAACAAAUAAGAAUUGCUGUUAUAAAUCGUGCGGUAAUAAAUAACUAAAUAAUAUAACUUUGCUCCAUCACAACGGCACAAAAUAUUAGAAUAAAAUAAAUUUUUUUACAAUAAUAUAACUUUUGAUACAUUUAGAUUGAUAUAAUGGUACAAAAUUAUUGUAUCUAGCGCCAAUAUGCGGUCCACAGAUGACGUGGUAGACAAGGUGUAAGCAAUAUUAAAUUCUAACUUGAGUAGCCAAUGGGCCCAAUAGGUAUUACCUGAAGAAGAAGCAAAAGCAAAAGAUCUGCACAAAAAAAAAAAAUAAAAAAAAUAAAAAAUAAAAAAGAGAGGAGGGGCUCUUUCUGUGUCUUUAAAGCUGCUUCUUCGGCUGGGAUUUUUUCUUUAUUUUUUUUCCCUGGGAGCGAAAUGGAGUACAAGCUUAGCAGGGAAAGGCCGGCGCAUAGAUACCCCUCUCUGUGCCCUGUGAAAGGUACGCGAUAAUCUAGGGAGUAGAGAGAGAGAAACAGAUGAUCUAGGGAGAGAGAGAGAGAGAGAGAGAGAGAGAUUGUAAGGUGUACUAAGUAUUGGUAGCAGCCCCUAUAAUACACCAACAUGACAAGUUGGUCCCCAUAAACACUUAUUUAUAUGACCUUAUUUUGACCCAGUUUGGGAUUGCGGAGAAAUUACAGUACGAUAGGACUGAUAAUUCAACUCACUGUUUGCGAGCCACUUUGUAUUCAGCUCGAAGUGAACUCGAGAUCGAUUGCUCGUAUAUAUGAUGAGCAAGCCGAAUAUCAGCUGAAUUUUUUAACUCGAAAUUUUAAUGAGCCGAACACGAAUUGGGAUCAGCUCGCUUAUGUGUUGCUCGAUAUUGUUUGUAUUGAAUUUCAGGUCAAUCCAAAUGUACAGAAACCUAUAUUUUGUAAAUUUUAGUUAUUAAAUUAAAAUUCUUAUUUCGAAUUUCUUUUUCAACUUUUUAUCUAGUAAUAGAAAGGUAACAAUCUAACUUGUUGUACGUUAGUUAACCAGCUCGUAUUCAACUCUUUAAUAAACACGCUGAAUACGAGCAGAAUUUUUUAGUUCGAUAUUUUACAAAGCCAGUUUAUGUUCUGCUCGUUUAGUUAACGAGCAAAAAUAAGUUGACCUCAGCUCGCUCAUGUUCGGCUCGUUGACGGCCCUAUGCUAUGGGCAAUGAAAAAAAUAUGAUUAAAAA
RNAcentral lists this long non-coding RNA (2153 nucleotides) under Ananas comosus (pineapple). RNAcentral describes it as "long non-coding RNA (ACOM_LNC033775)". Lineage: Eukaryota; Viridiplantae; Streptophyta; Magnoliopsida; Poales; Bromeliaceae. The record is from RNAcentral.